UUAUGGUGACAUUUCCAGCCAUUAUAAGAUCAGGCUCGGAGGCUAAAUUAUGUGUGAGCCUUCUGAAACCAGAAGAAAAUAUGCAGCUUACCAUUACUCUGGUUAGCAGUAACCAGAACCGAACACUUCUGCAGGAGAAAACAGUGAAGGAAUUCCAUCGCUGCCUUGACUUUCAAGCUCCUGAGUCAGCGUCCAUGCAGGAGAUUCAUGUAGAAGCUCAAGGGAAAUACACACAUCUGAUAGAAAAGAGAAAAGUCAAGUUCGUUUCGCAUAAUCCACUGACUCUAAUUAAAAUUGAUAAACCAAUCUACAAUCCUGGAAAAACAGUUCAAUUCAGGAUUUUCACAGUUGACUUUGACUUUAAACCAGUUGAUGAAACA
This is a long non-coding RNA of Danio aesculapii, 380 nucleotides long. RefSeq lists it as uncharacterized. The transcript is spliced from 3 exons. The record is from RefSeq and is a predicted model, not a curated record. NCBI's taxonomy places the organism in Eukaryota, Metazoa, Chordata, Actinopteri, Cypriniformes, Danionidae.